AAAUUGAAGAGUUUGAUCAUGGCUCAGAUUGAACGCUGGCGGCAGGCCUAACACAUGCAAGUCGAACGGUAGCACAGAGGAGCUUGCUCCUUGGGUGACGAGUGGCGGACGGGUGAGUAAUGUCUGGGAAACUGCCCGAUGGAGGGGGAUAACUACUGGAAACGGUAGCUAAUACCGCAUAACGUCGCAAGACCAAAGAGGGGGACCUUCGGGCCUCUUGCCAUCGGAUGUGCCCAGAUGGGAUUAGCUAGUAGGUGGGGUAACGGCUCACCUAGGCGACGAUCCCUAGCUGGUCUGAGAGGAUGACCAGCCACACUGGAACUGAGACACGGUCCAGACUCCUACGGGAGGCAGCAGUGGGGAAUAUUGCACAAUGGGCGCAAGCCUGAUGCAGCCAUGCCGCGUGUAUGAAGAAGGCCUUCGGGUUGUAAAGU
Molecule: ribosomal RNA, 434 nt
Filed under: Citrobacter freundii
Lineage: Bacteria; Pseudomonadati; Pseudomonadota; Gammaproteobacteria; Enterobacterales; Enterobacteriaceae
Also listed under: 2 other names
Description: bacterial SSU rRNA
Rfam family: Bacterial small subunit ribosomal RNA
Source: RNAcentral